Molecule: long non-coding RNA, 959 nt
Filed under: Salmo salar (Atlantic salmon)
Lineage: Eukaryota; Metazoa; Chordata; Actinopteri; Salmoniformes; Salmonidae
Description: lncRNA (ENSSSAG00000085378.1)
Source: RNAcentral
UGGUGCUGCUCUGUUCACGAGGAAGAAUCCCUUUCCGCCAGACCCGCCUCUGGGAAAAACACACUACAACCCCUCAUGCACCAAGAAGCUUUUUAUUUUAUUUUUAUUUCACCUUUAUUUAACCAGGUAGGCUAGUUGAGAACAAGUUGUCAUUUGCAACUGCGACCUGGCCAAGAUAAAGCAUAGCAAUUCGACACAUACAACAGCAGAGUUAGACAUGGAAUAAACAAAACAUACAGUCAAUAACACAGGAGAACAAAAGAAAACAAGUCUAUAUACAGUGAGUGCAAAUGAGGUGCAGUGAUCUGUGAGCGGCUCUGACAGCUGGUGCUUAAAGCUAGUGAGGGAGAUAUGAGUCUCCAGCUUCAGAGAUUUUUGCUUCCAAAGCAACAGAGGAAAACCACCUGAACCCUGUUGGCCUUGCCCAGCUGUCCAGCCCUCCUCCUCUCCAGACACACUCACUAACCCUAGAGGACCUGUGCUUCCUUGGGGCAGCCAACCACUUCGUCCUCUGUCCUCCUGCCACAGAGGCCCAGCGUAGUUUUAGAGUCCUGGCCCUCCACUGAUCUUGUGUCCUCCCCGGCAUACACUGCCGCCUCCCCGAACACAGACACACUGACACAGGACCCAACAUCAGGAAAGUCCCUGGUCUCCACUGGGGGAGGAGAGCAGGAAGAUUCAGUGUUGGCAAAGUACAUUGAACGCUUUCGUCACGGAAGGCCGCAGAGUCAAGAGGAACGUCUGCAGAUGUCGGCGAUGGUGGGAGAGGGCCAGCAGCCUUUCGGGUGGAUGUCCUCCUCCCCUCUACCCUCCUGUUCUACACCCACUCAAACCACUGACAAAGGGCCUGUCAGACUCCUCUCACGGUGACCUUGGAGACUCUGAGAUACUGCAUCUACAGGAGAAGGCCAGUAGUCUGCUACACAGAGUGAGCACUCACUCAGUAGUGGAUCUAUCCC